GGGCGUGUAGCUCAGCUUGGAUAGAGCGACAGCCUUCUAAGCUGAAGGUCGGGAGUUCAAAUCUUCCCACGCCCA
RNAcentral lists this transfer RNA (75 nucleotides) under Nanobdellota archaeon. Its description in RNAcentral is "tRNA-Arg". It matches the Rfam family "tRNA". From Rfam's summary of the family: Transfer RNA (tRNA) molecules are approximately 80 nucleotides in length. Their secondary structure includes four short double-helical elements and three loops (D, anti-codon, and T loops). The record is from RNAcentral. Lineage: Archaea; Nanobdellati; Nanobdellota.